Long non-coding RNA from Magnolia sinica, 1265 nucleotides. RefSeq lists it as uncharacterized. The transcript has 4 exons. NCBI's taxonomy places the organism in Eukaryota, Viridiplantae, Streptophyta, Magnoliopsida, Magnoliales, Magnoliaceae. The record is from RefSeq and is a predicted model, not a curated record.
UUUUAUGCAUCUCUUAUUGAUUUAUGUUGACAUUCUUUUAUCAGAUUUUGGUUUCAAUUGGCUAUUGAUUUCUCUCUCUCUCUCUAUUAUUUUUAUUAUUUAUAAUUAGAGGUUCAUCAAUCAAUCCUAGCCAUUCAGUCAAUGGGCUUCUUUCCAUUGCAUAUACACUAGGUAUAUUCUUUCCUUCUGACUGUGCAUUCGCUAGAAAAAUAGGAUGGCUAGGAUUGUUUGGUGGGAACACUUUGUCUUGUAUUGCCUAUUAACAGAGGGGAAUCACCCGAUGAGCUGUCUGGGUCACUUAUAGGUGGGCUCCGCCCAUACUAAAUGUUGGCCUGAAUGAAAAUUCCAAUAGUUUCAAACCAUGUGAAUCAUAGCUUCUUUUAAAGGAGUUGAUAUUUGUGCAGCACUAUUUUUUGUUCCUUCUCAUUUUCUCUGUUUUGGUAUUGAGAAGGUCUGGUAAGAUCUCCGGUAUCUACUACACUACCGCAUAUCAGUUCGAGGUUGUUUGUAACAUGGGGAAUUUUGUGGAGUUUCCCCGAGACUCGAACACACUUGCUUGCUAGCUCUUUGGUUAUCAGUUGGUCUAUCAUAGAGGUGCGGGUUCUUACAUGAUUAUGAUAUGAAUUCAUUGCAGCUCUUGAACAAUUUUCAAUUAGCAGGUUGCUCUUGUUGGCUAAUUUGGUGCUGCAUUGUUAAUUUCUUGUGUUUAUGAUGCUACUAUAGUAAUUUAGCAUGGGAAUUGAUAAUUACAACCAGAAUGAUUUUGAGUAUCCAUUUUCAAUUUGGGAAUUGAAAUUCAUGUUGGGCCCUUGUCGAAGAUGGUGAGUUUCAAUGUCUUGAAAGCCAUUCCAGCAGGAUCCUCUGGCAGAGGCGGGAAAAAGGCCUUCUUUGCAAUCUAAGGCUAGUUCGUAGUUAUUUCCUGAUGCAGCUAGGCUUAUUAUUAUUUUUUAAAGUUUCUUAUAUAUAAACAGUUUUGUUAAUUUAAACAUAUUCGGGAUUACCUGUGGGCCAUGCAUGUGUGGCUCUGAUUGAAUUGAGAUUUUGAAUGGGGUUACAUUGAUUCAGUUAUAUGGAUUCAAGCACAAUUCUAGUAUGGCCCGCAUUUGUUUUGAUUUCCUUAGGGUGAUCAGGCUCGCCUGAUCAGGUAGCUAACCAGAUGGAUAGUCUGAUCGUCCUAGACAUGCUACUUCCAUGAUUAUGUUAGGAAAUGAGGAUUAUUGUUUUUAAAACUUUUGAAAUUACAUAAUUUUAGAUUUUGUUUAUCA